GGGCCCGCACAAGCGGUGGAGCAUGUGGUUUAAUUCGAUGAUACGCGAGGAACCUUACCAGGGCUUAAAUGUAGGUUGCAUGAUCUAGAGAUAGAUCUUUCUUCGGACUACCUACAAGGUGCUGCAUGGUUGUCGUCAGCUCGUGCCGUGAGGUGUCAGGUUAAGUCCUAUAACGAGCGCAACCCUCGCCGUUAGUUGCCAGCGGAUAAUGCCGGGCACUCUAAUGGGACUGCCGGUGUCAAGCCGGAGGAAGGUGGGGAUGACGUCAAGUCCUCAUGGCCUUUAUGUCUGGGGCUACACACGUGCUACAAUGGUCGCUACAGAGCGCUGCGAACCCGCGAGGGGGAGCCAAUCGCAAAAAGGCGGCCUCAGUUCGGAUCGGAGUCUGCAACCCGACUCCGUGAAGUCGGAAUCGCUAGUAA
Molecule: ribosomal RNA, 422 nt
Filed under: uncultured bacterium
Lineage: Bacteria
Description: bacterial SSU rRNA
Rfam family: Bacterial small subunit ribosomal RNA
Source: RNAcentral